UAUGGUCAUAUCACAUUGAAACACUGGUUCUUAUCUGGUCACCAAAGCUAAGCAAUGUUGAGCCUGGUCAUUACCUAGAUGGGUGACCAUUUGGGAAUUUCAGGUGCU
Non-coding RNA from Acanthosepion pharaonis, 108 nucleotides. The record is from the annotation of a GenBank genome assembly. Lineage: Eukaryota; Metazoa; Mollusca; Cephalopoda; Sepiida; Sepiidae.